CAGCAGUAGCCGCGGUAAAACAGAGGGUGCGAGCGUUAAUCGGAUUUACUGGGCGUAAAGCGUGCGUAGGCGGCUAAUUGAGUCGGAUGUGAAAUCCCCGAGCUUAACUUGGGAAUUGCAUUCGAUACUGGUUAGCUAGAGUGUGGGAGAGGAUGGUAGAAUUCCAGGUGUAGCGGUGAAAUGCGUAGAGAUCUGGAGGAAUACCGAUGGCGAAGGCAGCCAUCUGGCCUAAUACUGACGCUGAGGUACGAAAGCAUGGGGAGCAAACAGGAUUAGAUACCCCCGUAGUCCCUGUCUCUUAUAC
RNAcentral lists this ribosomal RNA (304 nucleotides) under uncultured bacterium. RNAcentral describes it as "partial 16S ribosomal RNA". It matches the Rfam family "Bacterial small subunit ribosomal RNA", at positions 506 to 807 of the family's 1533-position model. The record is from RNAcentral.